AAUGCUUGCAACCUGUUGUUUUCAAGUGUAGUAUUGGCCCACACGAUAUUAAUUAAUUUUUCAAGCGAGGGAAACCCAUCACAGUAGCUUGCUACUGGGGUCUUUGUGCAUCGCCCAUGUGUUGCACUACUGCAUGGGCCUGGCACACCCCAU
RNAcentral lists this small nuclear RNA (153 nucleotides) under Nelumbo nucifera (sacred lotus). RNAcentral describes it as "U2 spliceosomal RNA". It matches the Rfam family "U2 spliceosomal RNA". Rfam says of the family: U2 is a small nuclear RNA (snRNA) component of the spliceosome (involved in pre-mRNA splicing). Complementary binding between U2 snRNA (in an area lying towards the 5' end but 3' to hairpin I) and the branchpoint sequence (BPS) of the intron results the bulging out of an unpaired adenosine, on the BPS, which initiates a nucleophilic attack at the intronic 5' splice site, thus starting the first of two transesterification reactions that mediate splicing. Lineage: Eukaryota; Viridiplantae; Streptophyta; Magnoliopsida; Proteales; Nelumbonaceae. The record is from Rfam by way of RNAcentral.